Molecule: ribosomal RNA, 3537 nt
Filed under: Triticum aestivum (bread wheat)
Lineage: Eukaryota; Viridiplantae; Streptophyta; Magnoliopsida; Poales; Poaceae
Description: partial small subunit ribosomal RNA
Source: RNAcentral
AUGGGGGAAGUAGCCGCGGUUGCCACCGUGGCCGGCACCAUGGUCGGUAGGAUGGGGCCUAAGCUUGCGGAUUUUUUGCUGAAAAAUCAGAAGCUGCGGGCAGAUCUGGUGCAUGACAUCGAGCACAUCAAAAGAGAGUCCAACAUAAUUUCUGCCACCAUCAAGCAAGACAACAUCGACCGUCCCCCGUGGAGCGGCAACGAACCUCAUAAGCAAUGGAUCAAUAUGGUGCGUGACUUGGCGUGCGCCAUUGACGACUGCAUCGACAGCUUCAUACACCGCAUGCCGCUCAAGACCGGCGUGUCGUGGCCCCGUCGGAAGUACCACAGGGUGAAGACACGGAAGGUCCGUAACAAGUUUGCCAAGGCGAUCCGUGAUCUCAGGAAGACAUCAAAUGAUAUAUUCGAGCUGAGGAGAAAAUACACCGACAAGGAGUUGUAUGGAGGCGGAGGCGGAGGCGGUGGCGGUGGAUCCAACACCUUGGAUCCAGAUGCGCCUGAUGAGGAGAUGGAGACGGACGAGGAGACGGAGGCGGACACCGCCCUUUCGACUGCUAGCCUACAUGUGGGCUUGAAGGCAGCCAGGGAUGAGGUCAUGGAGAUGAUAAGUGAAACGGCGCAAGGCCAACAAGCUAAGGAGCUCAAGGUGAAGGUGAUCUCCAUAGUCGGAUUCGGUGGCAUAGGGAAGACUCUCCUUGCCAGGCAAGCCUACGACACGAUCAAGAACCAAUACCAAGCAUGCGCUUGGGUUUGUGCUUCAGACAAGCGCGCAAAGGCUGUUCUCACAGAGAUACUCCGGAAACUUGAGAAGCAUCCGACCGUUGGCAAUAGUGGUGGAAGUGCAGGCAGCUCCUGCACCAUGAACAAGCUCCGUGCAACCAUAAGAAGGUUCCUUCAGACAAAGAGGUUCAUCAUUGUGAUAGAUGACAUGCGGGAAGAUUUUUGGGAAGUUGUAAAAGAUGCGUUCCCUGUGGUUCCCGGGGAUAGUAACAGAGUAAUCAUUACGACGGCCACUCAGACCAUAGCAAAUGAAUGCAGCUCUGCAAAUGGUCAUGUUUAUGUAAUGAGAACUCUUGACGAGGACCAUUCUAAACAAUUGCUAAUGGAGAUAGCCUCCUUGGAUCAGUGCCCACCACUAGCGAGUGAAACUGAGCUCUGUUCAGAAGCACUAAAGAAAUGUGAUGGUCUACCCCUUGCUCUUGUUACAACAGGCAAGUUAUUGCAUGGUGAUCGCACACGGGAACGAUGGGCAAUUCUGUGUAAAACCCUUGGCGUACAUCUGGAGAAUAAUAAGAAGUUAGCAAGUAUGAAGCAUGUGCUCACUCGUAGCUACACUAGCCUUGGUAGCCAAGAUGUUAAGAACUGCUUGCUAUAUCUGGGUAUUUUCCCCGUUGGUCGUCCAGUCAGGAGAGGAAGCCUGAUAAGGAGAUGGUCAGCCGAAGGGUUCAUCCCAGCAGAGAGUGCCGCUAUAGGAAAUUUUGAUGAGCUGGUCGACCGGAGUAUCAUUCAGCCUAUUGAUGCCAGCAGCAGCAACAUCACAAAGGUGAAGACAUGCCAAACCCACGGCAUGAUGCUCGAGUUCAUCAUGCACAAGUCCAUGUGUCAGAACUUUGUUACUGUGUUGUACGAUAACGCUACCCUAUCCGGUGAUGUCCGCUGGCUUUCUCUGCAUGGUGCAAGCUCCAAAAUGGAUCAAGAGAAUUUGCAUCUUGUCCGGUCUCUGACAAUCUUCGGUAAAGCGCACAAAUCUGUCUUGGACUUCUCCAAGUAUAGACUGAUGCGAGUCUUGGAUUUGGAAGGGUGCAAUGAACAUUUGGAGGACGAGCACCUAAAGGCAAUAUGCAGCAACUUGUUUCUGCUCAGGUACCUAAGCCUCAGGGGCGCAGCUACAGUUAAGGUUCUUCCCAAAGAGAUCAGGAAGCUUCAAGUUUUGGAGACGCUCGAUUUGAGAGGAACGAAUAUAGAGAUCAUGCCCACACAAGUCAUGCAGCUGCCAUCUUUACUUCAUCUGUUUGGAAAGUUUAAGCUCCCACAAGGUGUAGGAGGCCGGAAAAUGCAUAAACUACAUGCUUGGUUGGAAGAGAAUAGUAAACUGCAAACAGUAGCAGGAUUUGUUGUCGACAAUAAGAGCCAACGAUUUGCACAAGUGAUGAAUCAUAUGAAGGUGCUGACUAAGGUGAAAAUAUGGUGCGAGUCUACCGCCGAUGCAAACAGCUCAAGUCAUGUCUCAAAGGGCAUCAAGACGUUCAUGCGGAGAGGCACUGAUUCUUCUGACAAUUCCAGUCAUCUCUCAGAGGCCAUCAAGGACUUCGUCGAGAGAGGCGCAGAUUCAAACACUUCACUUUCGCUCUCAAUGAACUUCAACCACGAAUGGCCUCAAGACUUACAGAAUUUCUCCCUGAAGAAGGACACAACCUACUAUCUAAGAUCACUCAAGCUGCAAGGGAACAACAUAUGCAGCCAGCUGCCUCAGUUUGUUACCAUGCUACGUGGUGUCACUAAGUUGUGCCUUCAAUUCCCUCGUCAUCAGCUGAGUGCUGACAUUCUUGUUUCCCUGGGUAGCGUGAGAGGCCUGAAAUACCUGAAGCUCAUUGCAACCCAGCUAGACAUGCUCGUCAUCGGACAUGAUAUACUCCGAAACAUGCGGCACCUAUGCGUCGUGGUGGAAGUUAUGACUGGGAUGGUAAUCGAAGAGGGAGCUCUGCCAUGCCUCGAGUCUCUCCAGCUACUGUGUAAGGAUCUCAACUGCUUUAGUGGCACGAAGAUCCAGUCCCUACCAUGUCUGAAGGAGGUAGCCCUCCAUGAUGGAGUGUGCAAGGAAACAAAACAGGAGUGGGAAGGAGCAACGAAGAACCAUCCCAGACGUCCCAGGCUCUUGUUUUUCACAAAAAAGAUGGUUGAUGAUCAUUUCAUGGGAAGCGAGGCUGCUGUGGAAAUUAGCCAUGCGGCAACAACUACGGAUACGACGGCUGUGGAAAGUGAGCCUGCGCAGAAUUCCGAGAGCCAUGAUGCACCACCUACUGAUACCACGUUAAUGGUGACAACAUCCCCUGAUGUUAUUUCUACCCGAGAGUCUGUACAAGUUGCUACAACUUCUGAGAUGGUUGGUGCUCAGGACCUGAUGGGAACUGAUUCUGCUACAGAAAGUAGUUCUGUGGCAACAAGUACUGAUACGACCAAAAAGAUUGAUGUGGAAAGUGAGCCUUCAGAAAAUUGUGAGAGCCCAGUAGCACCACCUACUGAUAUGAUGUUAUCAAUGACAACGGCAGGCAAUGUCAUUUCUACUGAAGAGUCUGUCCGUCUUAAUGGUGGCUGUCAACAUGGUGAUGAUGGGAAAGAUGUGGAUAACAUUGAGGACCCAAAAGAUUUUGCUACAAAAGAUGGUCGGAUCACUCAGGUGAUAGAUCAGAUGAACAAUGAAAGUUUUAAAGAGGAGAUGGAAGGAGUGGCAGAUGUAGAGGAUCAGCAGAUGGACAAUGGCACCCAGGGCCUGCGUGCAAGGUUGUUGUCGCUGGUGAAAAUUGGUAUCUUUCAAUAG